GAUGAACGCUGGCGGCGUGCCUAAUACAUGCAAGUCGAGCGAACAGACGAGGAGCUUGCUCCUCUGACGUUAGCGGCGGACGGGUGAGUAACACGUGGAUAACCUACCUAUAAGACUGGGAUAACUUCGGGAAACCGGAGCUAAUACCGGAUAAUAUAUUGAACCGCAUGGUUCAAUAGUGAAAGACGGUUUUGCUGUCACUUAUAGAUGGAUCCGCGCCGCAUUAGCUAGUUGGUAAGGUAACGGCUUACCAAGGCAACGAUGCGUAGCCGACCUGAGAGGGUGGUCGGCCACACUGGAACUGAGACACGGUCCAGGCUCCUACGGGAGGCAGCAGUAGGGAAUCUUCCGCAAUGGGCGAAAGCCUGACGGAGCAGCGCCGCGUGAGUGAUGAAGGUCUUCGGAUCGUAAAGCUCUGUUAUUAGGGAAGAACAAAUGUGUAAGUAACUAUGCACGUCUUGACGGUACCUAAUCAGAAAGCCACGGCUAACUACGUG
This 497-nucleotide ribosomal RNA is filed under the name uncultured bacterium. RNAcentral describes it as "partial 16S ribosomal RNA". It matches the Rfam family "Bacterial small subunit ribosomal RNA", at positions 28 to 507 of the family's 1533-position model. The record is from RNAcentral.